UGGGGAAUAUUGCACAAUGGAGGGAACUCUGAUGCAGCGACGCCGCGUGAACGAAGAAGGCUUUCGAGUCGUAAAGUUCUUUUAUAUGGGAAGAUAAUGACGGUACCAUAAGAAAAAGCCCCGGCUAACUACGUGCCAGCAGCCGCGGUAACACGUAGGGGGCUAGCGUUGUCCGGAAUCACUGGGCGUAAAGGGUUCGCAGGCGGAAAUGCAAGUCAGGUGUAAAAGGCAGUAGCUUAACUACUGUAAGCAUUUGAAACUGCAUAUCUUGAGAAGAGUAGAGGUAAGUGGAAUUUUUAGUGUAGCGAUGAAAUGCGUAGAUAUUAAAAAGAAUACCGGUGGCGAAGGCGACUUACUGGGCUCAUUCUGACGCUGAGGAACGAAAGCGUGGGUAGCAAACAGG
This 403-nucleotide ribosomal RNA is filed under the name Verrucomicrobiota bacterium. RNAcentral's name for it is "Verrucomicrobia bacterium partial 16S ribosomal RNA". It matches the Rfam family "Bacterial small subunit ribosomal RNA", at positions 355 to 776 of the family's 1533-position model. The record is from RNAcentral. Lineage: Bacteria; Pseudomonadati; Verrucomicrobiota.